This is a non-coding RNA of Fukomys damarensis (Damara mole-rat), 410 nucleotides long. NCBI's taxonomy places the organism in Eukaryota, Metazoa, Chordata, Mammalia, Rodentia, Bathyergidae. The record is from the annotation of a RefSeq genome assembly.
CCCUGGAUCCAGCUGCUCCAACUCGAUGAUGAGGACUAAACACAGACAGCUCACCAUGGAGCUGGCACUGAGCUGGGUUUUCCUUGUUGCUGUUUUAAAAGGUGUCCAGGCUGAGGUGCAGCUGGUGGAGUCCGGGGGAGGCUUGGUGCAGCCGGGGGGGUCCCUGAAACUCUCCUGUGUGACUUCAGGAUUCACCUUCAGUAACUACUGGAUGCACUGGGUCCGUCAGGCUCCAGGAAAAGGGAUGGAGUGGGUUGGGAGAAUUAAUGGGAAUAGUGGAACUAUAAACUACCCAGACUCUGUGAAGGGCCGAUUCACCAUCUCCAGAGACAACGCUAAGAACACGCUGUAUCUGCAAAUGAACAGCCUGAGAGCGGAGGACACGGCUGUGUAUUACUGUACAACACACA